This 440-nucleotide ribosomal RNA is filed under the name uncultured bacterium. RNAcentral's name for it is "partial 16S ribosomal RNA". It matches the Rfam family "Bacterial small subunit ribosomal RNA", at positions 338 to 795 of the family's 1533-position model. The record is from RNAcentral.
CCUACGGGUGGCAGCAGUGGGGAAUAUUGCACAAUGGGGGAAACCCUGAUGCAUCGACGCCGCGUGCGUGAAGAAGUAUCUCGGUAUGUAAAGCUCUAUCAGCAGGGAAGACAAUGACGGUACCUGACUAAUUAGACCCGGCUAACUCCGUGCCAGCCGCCGCGGUAAUACGUAGGGGGCAAGCGUUAUCCGGAUAUACUGGGUGUAAAGGGAGCGUAAACGGCGCUGCAAGCACGGAGUGAAAUCCCAUGGCUUAACCCUGGGACUGCUCUGGAAACUGUGGAACUUGAGUGCGGGAGGGGCAGGCGGAAUUCCUAGUGUAGCGGUGAAAUGCGUAGAUAUUAGGAGGAACACCGGCGGCGAAGGCGGCCUGCUGGACCGUAACUGACGUUGAGGCUCGAAAGCGUGGGGAGCAAACAGGAUUAGAUACCCGUGUAGUC